This 213-nucleotide unclassified non-coding RNA is filed under the name Hevea brasiliensis (rubber tree). Lineage: Eukaryota; Viridiplantae; Streptophyta; Magnoliopsida; Malpighiales; Euphorbiaceae. The record is from RNAcentral.
UGGGGGGCAAAUUGCGAUAACUUCCCUGGUAAUGGGGAUUAUGAAUGACAAUAAUGAAAAGAAUCAAGGUACAGAUAUGCUCUUCACACUAUACACACUGGUUUCACUGUUGUUUUAUUUAAGGCCUUUUCCUUCAUCUUCAUUCAAAAUGCGAUUCCGGAAAUCAUUCACCAUGAGGGGCAAUCCAUCUCUCAAAGAAAUUUUUGGCUCCCA